This 253-nucleotide ribosomal RNA is filed under the name uncultured bacterium. RNAcentral describes it as "partial 16S ribosomal RNA". It matches the Rfam family "Bacterial small subunit ribosomal RNA", at positions 524 to 776 of the family's 1533-position model. The record is from RNAcentral.
UACGUAGGGGGCAAGCGUUGUCCGGAAUCAUUGGGCGUAAAGCGCGUGUAGGCGGCUUGGUAAGUCCGCUGUGAAAGUCCAGGGCUCAACCCUGGAAUGCCGGUGGAAACUGUCAAGCUUGAGUCCGGAAGAGGCGAGUGGAAUUCCUGGUGUAGCGGUGAAAUGCGUAGAGAUCGGAAAGAACACCAACGGCGAAAGCACUCUGCUGGGCCGACACUGACACUGAGAGACGAAAGCUAGGGGAGCGAAUGGG